This 288-nucleotide ribosomal RNA is filed under the name uncultured bacterium. Its description in RNAcentral is "partial 16S ribosomal RNA". It matches the Rfam family "Bacterial small subunit ribosomal RNA", at positions 775 to 1067 of the family's 1533-position model. The record is from RNAcentral.
GGAUUAGAUACCCUGGUAGUCCGCACAGUAAACGAUGAUAACUAGUUGUUUGCGAUAUACAGUAAGCGACCAAGCGAAAGCGAUAAGUUAUCCACCUGGGGAGUACGCCGGCAACGGUGAAACUCAAAGGAAUUGACGGGGGCCCGCACAAGCGGAGGAGCAUGUGGUUUAAUUCGAUGAUACGCGAGGAACCUUACCAGGGCUUGAAAGUUAAGGAAUGAUUAUGAAAGUAGUCAGUCAGCAAUGACCUAAAACUAGGUGCUGCAUGGCUGUCGUCAGCUCGUGCCG